Molecule: ribosomal RNA, 466 nt
Filed under: Vreelandella stevensii
Lineage: Bacteria; Pseudomonadati; Pseudomonadota; Gammaproteobacteria; Oceanospirillales; Halomonadaceae
Description: partial 16S ribosomal RNA
Rfam family: Bacterial small subunit ribosomal RNA
Source: RNAcentral
CCUACGGGUGGGCAGCAGUGGGGAAUAUUGGACAAUGGGCGAAAGCCUGAUCCAGCCAUGCCGCGUGUGUGAAGAAGGCCUUCGGGUUGUAAAGCACUUUCAGUGGGGAAGAAAGCCUUGGGGCUAAUACCCUCGAGGAAGGACAUCACCCACAGAAGAAGCACCGGCUAACUCCGUGCCAGCAGCCGCGGUAAUACGGAGGGUGCGAGUGUUAAUCGGAAUUACUGGGCGUAAAGCGCGCGUAGGCGGUCUGAUAAGCCGGUUGUGAAAGCCCCGGGCUCAACCUGGGAACGGCAUCCGGAACUGUCAGGCUAGAGGGCAGGAGAGGAAGGUAGAAUUCCCGGUGUAGCGGUGAAAUGCGUAGAGAUCGGGAGGAAUACCAGUGGCGAAGGCGGCCUUCUGGACUGACACUGACGCUGAGGUGCGAAAGCGUGGGUAGCAAACAGGAUUAGAUACCCGAGUAGUC